RNAcentral lists this ribosomal RNA (427 nucleotides) under uncultured bacterium. RNAcentral describes it as "partial 16S ribosomal RNA". It matches the Rfam family "Bacterial small subunit ribosomal RNA", at positions 355 to 774 of the family's 1533-position model. The record is from RNAcentral.
UGGGGAAUAUUGGACAAUGGGGGCAACCCUGAUCCAGCCAUGCCGCGUGUGUGAAGAAGGCCUUUUGGUUGUAAAGCACUUUAAGCAGUGAAGAAGACUCCAUGGUUAAUACCCAUGGACGAUGACAUUAGCUGCAGAAUAAGCACCGGCUAACUCUGUGCCAGCAGCCGCGGUAAUACAGAGGGUGCAAGCGUUAAUCGGAAUUACUGGGCGUAAAGCGAGCGUAGGUGGCUUGAUAAGUCAGAUGUGAAAGCCCCGGGCUUAACCUGGGAACGGUAUCUGAUACUGUUAGGCUAGAGUAGGCGAGAGGAAGGUAGAAUUCCAGGUGUAGCGGUGAAAUGCGUAGAGAUCUGGAGGAAUACCGAUGGCGAAGGCAGCCUUCUGGCAUCAUACUGACACUGAGGUUCGAAAGCGUGGGUAGCAAACA